RNAcentral lists this transfer RNA (129 nucleotides) under Paramuricea clavata. It matches the Rfam family "tRNA". From Rfam's summary of the family: Transfer RNA (tRNA) molecules are approximately 80 nucleotides in length. Their secondary structure includes four short double-helical elements and three loops (D, anti-codon, and T loops). The record is from Rfam by way of RNAcentral. Lineage: Eukaryota; Metazoa; Cnidaria; Anthozoa; Malacalcyonacea; Plexauridae.
GUCAGGAUGGCCGAGCGGUCUAAGGCGCCGGACACAAUUGCAAGUUUGCACACCUGCUUCGCUAAUGCGCAGUCAGAGGGUGUUCUGGUCCACCAAUUUUGGGCUUGGGUUCGAAUCCCACUCCUGACA